UCCUUUUUUUUCGAUACCUUC
Molecule: non-coding RNA, 21 nt
Filed under: Caenorhabditis elegans
Lineage: Eukaryota; Metazoa; Nematoda; Chromadorea; Rhabditida; Rhabditidae
Source: RNAcentral